AUACUCACCCGGCAGGGGAGAUGCCAUGGUCAUGAAGGUGGUUUUCCCAGGGUGAGACUUCUCCAUUGCACUCCGGAUGUGCUGACCCCUGUGAUUUCCCAAAAUGUGGGAAAUUCGACUGCAUAGUUUGUGGGAGUGGGGGACUGUGUCUGUGCUCUCCCUUG
This 164-nucleotide small nuclear RNA is filed under the name Carlito syrichta (Philippine tarsier). Its description in RNAcentral is "U1 spliceosomal RNA (ENSTSYG00000031029.1)". It matches the Rfam family "U1 spliceosomal RNA". Rfam says of the family: U1 is a small nuclear RNA (snRNA) component of the spliceosome (involved in pre-mRNA splicing). Its 5' end forms complementary base pairs with the 5' splice junction, thus defining the 5' donor site of an intron. There are significant differences in sequence and secondary structure between metazoan and yeast U1 snRNAs, the latter being much longer (568 nucleotides as compared to 164 nucleotides in human). The record is from Rfam by way of RNAcentral. Lineage: Eukaryota; Metazoa; Chordata; Mammalia; Primates; Tarsiidae.